RNA transcript from Musa acuminata AAA Group (dessert banana), 4051 nucleotides. RefSeq lists it as uncharacterized. The record is from RefSeq and is a predicted model, not a curated record. The transcript has 6 exons. Lineage: Eukaryota; Viridiplantae; Streptophyta; Magnoliopsida; Zingiberales; Musaceae.
GCCUUCCCCAGCUGGCUUAUGGAACUCCGCAGCCUGUCCUAUCUUGCUCUUAGCGAUUCAAAUUUGCAUGGCGAGCUACCUGCUGGGAUCGGAAGAUUGACUCGUCUGACCCAGCUUGAUCUCAGCGCUAAUUCACUCUCUGGUCCUCUCCCCGCGGAGAUUUGGAGUUCGAGGAGUCUAUCAAGCAUCGACCUCAGCUUUAAUUCGUUCCGAGGUCCGAUGCAAGUGGAAGCAGGGAAUUGGAGUAGUCUCUCACAGGUAUAUCUGCUCAACUGCUCACUCAGUGGCAGCAUCCCUGCUGCGAUUGGGAGUUUGACUCGUCUCAAGGAGCUGCACCUCAGUGGCAAUCGACUCACCGGUCCCAUACCUGCCGAGAUCGGUAAUUUGACUGCUCUAACAACGCUCGACUUGGGUCGUAAUUCUCUCACUGGAUCCGUACCACCUGAGAUCGGCAAGCUUUCCAACCUAACCUCGCUUGAUCUCUCUCUCAAUUCCCUGAAAGGUACCAUGUCCGAACUCCAUUUCGCCAACCUCGCCAAGCUAGACGUCUUAUACUUGUACAGGAACUCCUUGGACAUCGCAAUAGGCCAUGAUUGGAUUCCACCUUUUCAACUCGAGACAAUCGGAGUGGAUUCCUGUAAGCUGGGCCCUUCGUUUCCCGGAUGGCUGCGCUCGCAGGAAUCCAUGGUGGAUUUGAAUUUGUCGAACACAAGUAUCGAGGACACUUUGCCCGACUGGCUCUGGAAUUCUUCUUCCUCUUCCUUAAUGGUCAUAAAUCUGUCCCACAACAAGAUUUCUGGCACUCUGCCGGCAUCCUUGGAGAGUCUGACCAACUUGAUGUUCCUAAAUUUGAGCUCUAAUCUGUUCCAAGGUCUCGUCCCUGUUUCGCCACCAUUACUACAAGCACUGGAUCUAUCAAGCAACGCUCUCUCAGGACCGCUACCAUCGACCUUUGCACCGGUGUCGGUAUACUUGUUCUUCUCAAACAAUCAUAUUAACGGGAGCGUACCAUCCUCCGUCUGCACUUUGCAGCAGCUUUUCGCCCUCGAUCUGUCGAACAAUCAGAUAUCAGGAGAAAUACCUCGGUGUUGGCAAGAGGCAAAUGAACUUUUGUUUAUCAAUCUGGCGAAUAAUAAGCUCGGUGGAAAGAUUCCCAACUCCAUCGGAAACUUGACCGAGCUCAAGUUCUUGCAUCUGAGCAACAACAGCCUCCAUGGAGAUCUUCCACCAUCGUUGCAAAGUUGUAGCCAGUUAGCUGUCAUCGAUCUCGGUCGCAACCAAUUUUCGGGCAAGAUUCCGGCAUGGAUCGGGCAAAGCUUUCGAUAUCUGGAGGUACUUCUGCUACGUUCGAACAUGUUCUCCGGCGACAUUCCACCACAGCUUGGUCAACUAAGUAAUCUUCAAAUCAUCGACCUUGCCGACAACGAGCUAUCAGGGAUCAUACCACGCUCCUUCGGCAAUUUCAGCGCCAUAAUUUCCAUAUCAAAGUCGAUGUCUUCCACGAUUUCGUCCGACCCAAACUUCGAGUUGUCCUCUUUCGUAGCCAGCGAAAGCAUAGCUCUAUUUACAAAGGGAGACCAACGAAGCUUUUCGUCCAUUCUCCAUCUCGUGAAGAGCAUUGACCUCUCAAAAAAUUCUCUGACCGGAGCAAUCCCCACAGAGAUCGGGUACCUCGCCGCACUUCAAACUUUAAAUCUAUCAAGAAAUAGCAUCGGAGGUAUGAUUCCGAGUACCAUUGGCGGAAUGAAAUCACUGGAAACUCUUGACUUAUCAUUCAAUAACUUAUCCGGAGCUAUUCCUCAGAGUAUGUCAGCUUUGAAUUCUCUUAGCCACUUGAAUCUGUCAUAUAACAAUCUAUCCGGAGCCAUUCCAUCGGGUUUUCAACUUCAAACACUUCCGGCAUCCAGUUACAUCGGUAAUGCGUAUCUCUGUGGGCUUCCGGUUAGCAAGAGUUGCCUCAACGAGACAAAUACCAAUGCGACAGACGAGGAGGACGAGGAAGAAGGACUUCGUGGGCUAUCGCUUUACUUCGGCAUCGCGCUCGGUUAUUUGGUUGGACUGUGGAGCGUGUUUAUCGUCAUGCUAUUUAAGAAAGAUUGGAGGAUAUUUUAUUUUCGAAUGAUUGAUCAAAUAUAUGAUAAAGCGUAUGUGGCAAUCAAGAUAAAGAUCAACGGAUGGACGGUCAACAAAGGAGGGGGACGUACGCAAAAGUGAAGGCAACGUUACUGUAUUACAUAGUGUGUGCUAUGAUCAAAGGCAAGGAUGUUAAGAGUUACGCCAUCAGUAAUGUUGCUAUGAAUGAUGCAUGCGGUGAUGUCUGCGAUUCGUCGCUUUUGUAUCAUCUCAUAUGUAACUAUGAUGAAAUUAUGAUGCCGAAGAAAUCGAAACAAUAAAAAUGAGUUUUGGGUUACAAUGACACGGUUGACGUAAAAAUCGAUUAGUUGAGGGGCUAAACUAUAAUGUUGACGUAAAACCCCCAUCCUUCGAUCGGCGGUUGUCGGUCGAAGCGCGAGAGGGAAGAUGGUUCGGCCAGAUGGAGUCAAAGAGUGAAAGCUCAAGAGAAGGGCGGAAGAAUCUGCCCCGAUGGUGGAGGAGGAGGAGGAGGUUGAGGUCUUCGACGAGGGAGUACGCGAUGGGGUUGAAGAAGGGAUCGGAAACUUAGGGGAGAUUGCGGAGCCCGAGGACGAGAGGAGGGCGGAGGAGGGGGUGGACGAGAUGCCAGGGAUCCGGGUCACCUCGCCAGUCGACGGAGCGAAGCGGCCGGGAGUCAUAUUCGUUCUCGAGAAGGCGUGUUUGGAGGUUGGCAAAGUCGGGAAGAAUUUUCAGAUCCUGAACUCAGAUGACCAUGCAAAUUAUCUAAGGAAGCAAAAUCGAAAUCCUGCCGAUUAUAGGCCUGACAUCAUUCAUCAGGUGUGUCGAUUUUGCUCUUUUUGCAUUACACUUUUGGUUUCUUUCGAGUUAUGUUCUCUUUAUAUAAUCCUUGCAUUCAUUUUUUUGGGAAUUCACAUUUUUGGUUCGGAGUUGGAAAGCACUACCAUGUAAUUUUCUAACACAUAAUCAUUCUUCACCAGACGUGCUCCUCCGAUUACUCCAUGAAGUGAGUGAUAUCGAACCUUUGAUAGAUGAAAAUUUCCAAUGAUCAUAAAUGCCCAUUUGCUUCAGUUCAUUUGUUUGAAUUUUGUGUUCAUACUACAUUAAAAAUAUAUGUAUAUGACUUAGCUCCUAUCUUCCAUUAGAAGUUUUAUGUCUUCAUUAACUUACAGACUAAAUUGUCAACUCGAAGAUGAUGUUAGGCACUUCUCACGAUAUUUGAUAGCCCCCUAGCUUAAGGCUGGUAAGCUGCAGGCUGUCUAUGUGAAAACAGAGAAGGGAGUUCUUUUUGAAAUCAAACCAUAUGUCCGCAUCCCAAGGACUUUCAAGCGUUUCUGCGGUCUUAUGUAUAACCCAAUUGUUACAAAAAUCAAGUAUAAUUGCUGUCGGGAAGCUGGAGAAACUUGUGUGUCAUAAAGAAUCCUGUGACUCGCCAUUUGCCUGUCAAUUCCAAGAAAUUAGGACUCUCCUAUAGUUCAGACAGGUCGGUUAACUUGUGUAAUUAUGUAGCUGCUGCUAAUGAUGAUUCUGCCCUUGUUUUUAUGGUUGGUGCGAUGGCUCAUUGAGCGAUUGAUAAGGAAUACGCUGAUGAUUUUAUAUCGAUUUCAGAAUACCCUCUGAGUGCGGCAUGCUGCUUCAACAGGAUCGCCUUUUUUCCCAUAAAAUACCCGGAUGAGUGACUUGGUUCUUUUUCUCCAAGUGAUUAAGCUGGUCAUCGUUAAAGCAAUCAUCUAUGUGCGCAAAGCUUAUUCUUAAUAUUAAUCAGUUCUGCAGUUCCGUGUUUCUAUCGAAGAUUUUGCCCUUUCACCGGUUACUGUAUUCUUUACAAUUCAAUCAUGAUGUGCUAUUGAUGUCCAUUGAUCAUGUCGAUCACCCUCUGCCGAACCUAAUUGGCAUUCGAACCCAUUCACCGUGUUGUAUUACUGCACGAUUGUGUUACUCAUUUAAAUUGUUUUGCUUC